GGCCAAGGAAAUAUGUUCUAUAAUUUGUUUCCAUAAAAAGAAGAGUGUUGAAAAUGGAAAAAGUUAAGGAGCCCAUCAAGGAUACCACAUUAUAUUUAGUCGUCAUGUCUCCUUAAGCCUUCUCUGGACUAUAUAUUCUUCGCCUACACAUGUGCUCUGUGUCCCAGGAGUCUGCAUAGUAUUGACUGUAUCAGUGACCUCCUUGCCCUCUGGCAGAAUAUCAGAGUUGAAACAGAGAAUACAGUCAGGGUACAAAUAAAUGGAAGGAGGUGAUGGUUCUAAUGAAGAGACAGG
Acinonyx jubatus (cheetah) is the source of this 294-nucleotide long non-coding RNA. RefSeq lists it as uncharacterized. The transcript is spliced from 4 exons. Lineage: Eukaryota; Metazoa; Chordata; Mammalia; Carnivora; Felidae. The record is from RefSeq and is a predicted model, not a curated record.